Molecule: ribosomal RNA, 316 nt
Filed under: uncultured Tremellales
Lineage: Eukaryota; Fungi; Basidiomycota; Tremellomycetes; Tremellales
Description: partial large subunit ribosomal RNA
Rfam family: Eukaryotic large subunit ribosomal RNA
Source: RNAcentral
AUAUCAAUAAGCGGAGGAAAAGAAACUAACAAGGAUUCCCUUAGUAGCGGCGAGCGAAGCGGGAAGAGCUCAAAUUUGAAAGCUGGCGUCCUACGGGCGUCCGCAUUGUAAUCUAUAGAGGCGUUUUCUGUGCUGGACCGUGUCCAAGUCCCUUGGAACAGGGUAUCAAAGAGGGUGACAAUCCCGUACUUGACACGACAACCAGUGCUCUGUGAUACGUCUUCUACGAGUCGAGUUGUUUGGGAAUGCAGCUCAAAAUGGGUGGUGAAUUCCAUCUAAAGCUAAAUAUUGGCGAGAGACCGAUAGCGCACAAGUA